RNAcentral lists this ribosomal RNA (1188 nucleotides) under Triticum aestivum (bread wheat). RNAcentral describes it as "partial small subunit ribosomal RNA". Lineage: Eukaryota; Viridiplantae; Streptophyta; Magnoliopsida; Poales; Poaceae. The record is from RNAcentral.
AUGAAGAGGCUGUCCUACGGCCUCAAGAACGUUGGGUUCGCGCCAUACGGUGCCUACUGGCACGCCAUGCGCAAGUUCUUCGUGGUCGAGCUCUUCGGCGUGCGCCAUGUCGAGGCAGCAUGGCAUGCACGCCAGCAUCAGGUGGAGAAACUGAUGAGCACCUUGAGCGGCUUGGCCGGAGAGCCGGUAGCGCUCAAGGAGCACAUCUUAAGCCUGGCCGAUGGCAUCAUCGGCAUGCUUGGAUUUGGCGACAUGUACAACAGCGACAAGUUCCCACACCACAAGAACUUGGAGCACGUGCUUGAGGAGGCCAUACACGUGCAGGCCAGCUUUUCCGCCGAGGACUAUUUCCCCAACAUCGUUGGCCGCCUAGUCGACCAAAUCACCAGCCUCGCCUCUCGUCGUGAGCGGAUCUUCAAGCAGCUUGAUACAUUCUUCGAGAUCAUCAUUGAGCAGCAUCUUGACCCUCAGCGGGUCAAGCCUCAGAAUGGUGACCUCGUCGACCGCCUCAUCGGUCUCUGGAAGGAUAACAGUGGCACCCUCAGCAUCACGAGAGACCAUGUCAAGGGCAUCAUCUUUGGCACGUUCAUUGGUGGCUCAGACACGGCCUCGGUGACGAUCCUAUGGGCGAUGGCGGAGCUAAUCCGGAAGCCACGACUGCUGAAGAAGGUGCAAGAUGAGAUCAGGUCCAUGGUGGGCGGCAACGAGAGCGUGCAACCGGAUGACCUAGUAAAACUAGCCUACCUCAAGAUGGUGGUGAAGGAGACCCUACGGCUGCAUCCGCCAGCGACCAUGCUGCUGCCAAGGGAGGCCAUGCGGGAUAUCCAGAUUGGUGGCUAUGACGUGCCGGCCAAGACGCGAAUCUAUGUGAAUGCGUGGGCCAUUGGCAGGGACCCAACAAGCUGGCCUGAUGACCCGGAGGAGUUCAAGCCAGAGAGGUUUGAGACGAGCGAGAUAGACUUCAAGGGCGCGCAUUUUGAGCUAACUCCAUUUGGUGCAGGGCGGCGGAUAUGUCCUGCGCUGUCUAUGAGCAUAGCUACCGUGGAGUUUACGCUAGCCAACCUGUUGUACUGUUUUGACUGGGCGCUCCCGAAGGGGGCGGUAGUGAGCAUGGAGGAGGAAGGCAAGCUUAUCCCCCUCCUCAAGACCCCGCUCGUGCUGGUGCCCACCCCAUACCGGCACAUGUAA